RNAcentral lists this ribosomal RNA (301 nucleotides) under uncultured bacterium. RNAcentral's name for it is "partial 16S ribosomal RNA". It matches the Rfam family "Bacterial small subunit ribosomal RNA", at positions 509 to 807 of the family's 1533-position model. The record is from RNAcentral.
CAGUAGCCACGGUAAUACGGAGGGUGCAAGCGUUAUCCGUAUUUAUUGGGUUUAAAGGGUCCGUAGGCGGAUCUGUAAGUCAGUGGUGAAAUCUCACAGCUUAACUGUGAAACUGCCAUUGAUACUGCAGGUCUUGAGUAAAUUUGAAGUGGCUGGAAUAAGUAGUGUAGCGGUAAAAUGCAUAGAUAUUACUUAGAACACCAAUUGCGAAGGCAGGUCACUAAGAUUUAACUGACGCUGAUGGACGAAAGCGUGGGGAGCGAACAGGAUUAGAUACCCCCGUAGUCCCUGUCUCUUAUAC